CCUGGCGGAGUGACCCUCUAUGCUCACGGGCCCAGCGGAAAAAAGCAACUUUUCGUUUCUUCCUGUCGUUUUGUUUUCCUCUCCUACCCCUGGAAGGCGUCCUGUGGCCCCCAGGACCACAAGACCUUUGAGAUGGAGGAGCCACCCACAGGGCCGACGAGCUGCAGCCUGUGUGUCACGGCUUUUGAAACGCAACACCAGCCUAUCCCACCCUGAGACUUCAUUCUUUUACAAAUAUUGUUUAAUUAUUAUAUAGAGGUACUUUUGGACAGCCUAAACUGUUCCCGAUAUUUUUCAUGAGUCAACUUACUUGAUUAUACCAAAAAGCCCUUACAAAAUGGGAACGAUCAUACUCAUUUUACAGCCAACCUCCUCCUCCGCCAACCUAACCUGUGCUGGGUCACCCCAUCUCCUCUCUUCUCUCCGGGCCCUCGUUUGCCUGCAGAACUCCUUCAGUCUAAUGGCUUCAGAUACCAUCUGUAGUCGCUGAAGACUCCCUAACUGGUAACUCCAGUCCAACCUUGGGAUGCAAAUAUUACUGAACUCUAGAUUUAUAUAUCCAGUUAAUUACUCAAUGCCAUUUGCACGUGUGAUGGACAUCCCGAACCUAACAUACCCCCAGAUAUUCACCUAACCUGAUAGAAGAUCUUUCUGGGAAAACUGGGUCAAGAGAGGCCAGAUCCCUUAAUGGCUGGGGUUCCUCUGGGAAACAGCUCGCAGUGGGGUCCAGUGUGUCCCUGAGCCCAGUUGUAUUUGAAGGGCUCAUUCUAGGAAGAAGGGGCUUCUGGGCUGAGAACAGUCUUGGCAAGACAGCUUCCUUUUACUAUGGCUUUGUCCCUUGCACCCCACUCCCUUGCAGACAGACAGAGACACACACCAAAAAGCACUGUCUCAACAGGGAGCACUGCUGCCUUGGGUCUGCAUUUGGCAACAAUGCAAAAGAAGCCGGUCACAUGUGUGGUCCAAGGGCCAAGUGCAGUAAGGAGCAGUCUAUCUCCCAUGAAGGGCCGCUGAACAAGGGUUCUGUCCACCAAGUCUGAGACUUUGCUUUCUGUUUCCUUUGGGUUCUCUGGGAAAGGAAACUCUGGGAAUUCCCAUUCCUGAGUUUGCAGAAAACAUCUCUGUUAAAAGCCCAGCCAGGAGGGAGCAGAGCCCCACCCGAAUGCUGGGAGUCCAAGGGCGGGUCAGCAGCUGGCUUUCUCCCAGACAAUCACAGCUCAUGGGGGCUAAAUACAGCACUUGUACUUGCUGUUUUUACAUUUGGAAAGGCUUGAGUCCGACUGCCUUUCCUGCCCGAUCAUGGCUGAGGGACUGAGGGGCAGGGAGGCUGCUGCCCAGCAGGGCACCUGACAAAAAUAUCCCACUGCUGCUUUGCAGCUGCAGGGCACCUGUGUCCUGCCCACAUGGGCACAUUGUGUAUUGCCAGCUUCUCCACAGAUCACCUGAUCCGACAGGAUAAGCCUCGUGCUUUGUUUCCCUAGGACUAAGGGGCCAGAUGUAUCCUGGGUGGACAAACAGCAUUAUUUUAACAGUGGGAAGGUCUUUAAUCCAUUUUCUUGUAAACAUUCUAAGCAGGUAGCAUAUGGUUAUCACCAUGGGAAAAACAAGCUCUUUUUUGGUUCCUUCUGGUAAUUUGCUCUGGGCAAAUCACCCUGUUUUUCCUGAGUUCAGAUCUUCUUUUGCAAUCACGUUGAUUUUAUCCUGUGUUUAUGAUUUUCCCUGGUUCCGGAGGCCUGACCUGGGAAGACUGUCCUGUUUUAGGAGAGGACACUCAUCACAGGAAUUCUUCACUUUAUCUUUGGAUAACAUUUACUACCUGCGAUACCAGUGAGUUAAGCAACAUAUGACAAAUAAUCUAUGCUCUGUGGAGAGAGGCACAUGGAACUCCCAUACAAACCAUCAGGAAACCGCAGAGCCAAACAGAGAAAGUCAGGGUGAGCUGAAUUAGCAGCUUUUCAAAUUGCCUCUGAAAAGCAAGUAGUGUUGAUGAAAAGUUUUGUAACGCCCCAGAUGAUUGCAGAAGUGCACAGGCAUACCUUGUUUUACUGUGCUUUGCUUUAUAGUGCUUCACAGGUAUUGCAUUUUGUUUGUUUGUUUUAAUUGAAGGUUUGUGGCAACUCUGCAUUGAAUAAAUCCAUUGGUGCCAUUUUCCCAAUAACCUUUGCUCACUUUGCGUCUCUGUGUCACAUUUUGGUAAUUCUCACUGUGGACAAAAAAAAUGUAGCCAGCCAUUUCAGUAAACAAGAAAUGUUGGUGCUAUCAAGACAUCAGCCACUGCAGCUGCUCCAAGGGGUGCACCCUGAGGGCAGCUUAGGAUGGAGAGAAACAGGAUACUGGCCCUAGAUAGUUAAGAUGCGUAUCUAAGGAAUAAUUUUAAUGAACCCAGACUCUUGCAUCUUCCCAUACACCAAAAGGCACUAAAAUCAUUAACUUGAGACUUCUGCUUUUUGUGGUCAGCAGUCAUGUUUUGGUGUUCAACUACAUGUUUGGCUUUUUUUUUUUUUUUUUUAAGCAAAAACUCCUGCAUAUCUUGGUUCCUCCCCUACCUCUUUGGAACAGUUCCUCAGAGCUGUCUGACAGGCUGUCUCAUGGGAUAUAGUUCUCAGUAAGGUCCCCAAAUAAAACAUAACUCACAAAUUUUAGGUUGUGUUUUUUUUUUCAGUUGACAUCACAAUUUUCAAGCCUUUCAUUAUUAUAUUUGUUAUGGUGAUCUGUGAUCAAUAAUCUUUGAUGUUUCUAUUGCAAAAAGAUUACAACUUGGCUCAAAUGAUUGUUAGCAUUUUUUAGCAAUAACGUAUUUUAAAAUUAAGGUACGUACAUUGUUUUUUUACACAAAAUGCCAUUGUACACUUUAGACUAUAGUAGGGCAUAAAUGUAAUUUUUAUAUGCACUGGGAAACCAAUCUGUGUGACUCACUUUAUUGUGAUAUUUGCUUUAUUGCAAUGGCCUGGAACCAACCCUGCAACAUCUCUGAGGCUGACCAGGUGACCCUCAGUCCUUUCUAGCCACGGUGACACUGCUGACUGCAUGUAGACUGUAUCCUCUGAUCGAGGUCUCUGCUGACUGCCUGAAUGGGGCCUGACUGCACACAUAGAAGCCUUUCUAAGAAUCAUUCAGCCAGAUGCCAGAAUCGGAACCAGUCCCCUGACCGCGGGCCCUCACAGCAGCCUCUCUCCUUCCCUGCCUAAGAGGGACUCUGGGACCGAGCUUCCCCUGCAGAGGGAGAGACAGAUCAUUGGGAUGUGCAACCUGGCUGACCUCACACAGCCGGGCCCUGAGGUAGCUUCCCCAGGAGCCAGCAGGUAACACCUGCUCACCUUUCCAUUGAACUGGUCCCCUGCACCUGCAAACAUCAGCUGGUGCAGGCAGUUCCAAUAACUGCUGCUUUGGGACAGGCCUAGGAUUCCGGCUAGCGUGAAAGGCCCAGACGAGGCAGAAGGUGCACAAGCAGGCCCCCGCUCGGUUGUUCCUCCAGAGCAAUGUCACCAGCAGAACACACAACCCUGGUCCAGGGCCCACCCGUGCUCCUGCCUGACUCUCCCGGGCAUCUUUCAGCAGCUUGUGCCUGUCCUGUGCUGGCGAGAUUGCCGAGGCUAGAUGAGUGGUCUGGGCUGCAUCCCCCUAUUCUGGCAGGCUGUCACCCCAGCUUGGUGUCAGUGUUGAGCAAGGGGUCAGAGGGCGGUGCUGGGGAGCCAGGGUUAGCAGGUGUCCCCGAGCUGCGUGAGGACACCUGGCACACCUGGAGGAGAGAGGCCUCCCAGCCGCGGGCCCGGGUGCUCUGCCCUGCAGACUUGCCCUGACGUUCAGUACCCACGACUGGCUCUUUAAGUGCUGCUUACUUCAUGGUCAGUUUGAUUAUUUCUCUUUCCUCCUCUUCUUUUAAUUUUUCAACAAAACUGUCCAGCACCGGCAUUUCAAACUUAAUGUACUGAGCGACCUAGAAAAUCCAAGAACAUUUUAAUGUGUUUUAAAUUAGAAGCCAAAAGUGUGUUUUCUUUUCCUCGUGGCUUCCAUAGCGGCCGAUUCAUCAGUCUUAAAUCCAAGGAAGAGGCUGUCCUGCUUUCCUCCCACGCCCAGCACUGCUCUGUGUGUACCAGGAUGGGAGGAUGGAGCCCAUUCUUACCUCAAAGGCAACUAUGAUCGCUGGGAGGAAAGAUUAAGCUGAAUUUUAGGAAAAGCAUUGAAUAGACAGGAACGUAAUGGAAGACAGGUGUCCAGGGGGCCUGGCAACACUGCCAGGUGUUGUGUGGUGGACACUGCCCUGAUGAUGUGUGAUCAUGUCCUUCAGUGAAGGCCCAGCUCCGAGAGGAACAGUGGCUGAAGGAGCGGGGGAUGGGGAAGUGGACUUGGGGAGGCCAGGCCUGCUCAGUUAUCAGACCUGUGCUGUGCAGCACUGGACACAGGGCCAUGCAGUACAAGUUCUGCAACAGCAGUUCUCAGUGGGCGAGGGGCUUCUGUUCCACCUUGAAGACCCAGAUGCACAUUCCUCCCCACUCCCUGCUGAACCUACUGGAGAGAGUGGCUUACCAUGUGGUUUUGGUGGGAUUCUCAAAGGGAUGACAAUGUGCCUGGAUUUGGGCCUGGGAGGGAUGCUCGUGGUGGGGGCAUAGCAUGUCCCGAGGCCAGGAGGGCACCUGCCCCGUGCCCGCUGCACAAGCCAGCCCAGCCCUCAGAGAAGGAGCACAGCUGGUGAGCUUGCCAAAUGGACAGGGACUUUUGUUUUUAUGAUCAGGAAGCAAAGGCAGACACUUACCCCCAGACUCGUGAACGAUGUAGAGUGCAAACUCACUGGGACCAUUUUCCACCUGCACAGGUAGUAAUAGGAAGUCAGACCACGGCUUUUCCAGACAGGAGAGACAGAAAGGGACCCCUGGUAGUAACCACAUCCUCAGUGCCACACACACAAAUCCCCAGGGACCCUCCCCUCUCUCUGCUUAAAUUCCCAGAGAUGCCAGCUCAGCUGAGGAAACCUUGGUCAUCCUUCUAGCCAGGAGCCAUGGCUUUCUCCAGCCCCCUCCCCCAACAAAACAGCAAACCACCAGCAACUGGGGCAGGGCCGUCUGUGGCCAGACUUACUCGGA
RNA transcript from Orcinus orca (killer whale), 5081 nucleotides. It is a transcript of the gene named DEPP1 autophagy regulator, with no coding region annotated. The transcript is spliced from 5 exons. NCBI's taxonomy places the organism in Eukaryota, Metazoa, Chordata, Mammalia, Artiodactyla, Delphinidae. The record is from RefSeq and is a predicted model, not a curated record.